Molecule: ribosomal RNA, 1358 nt
Filed under: metagenome
Description: bacterial LSU rRNA
Rfam family: Bacterial large subunit ribosomal RNA
Source: RNAcentral
UUUAAUGCUGAGGCGUGAUGGGGAAGGCCCUUGAGGCUGAAGUACAUGAUUCCAUGCUUCCAAGAAAAGCAUCUAGAGAGAGAAGUAGUGCCCGUACCGCAAACCGACACAGGUAGAUGAGGAGAGAAUCCUAAGGCCGGCGGAAGAAUUGCAGUUAAGGAACUAGGCAAAUUGACCCCGUAAGUUAGCGAGAAGGGGUGCCUGCGAGAGCAGGCCGCAGAGAAUAGGCCCAAGCAACUGUUUAGCAAAAACACAGGUCUCUGCUAAAGCGCAAGCUGAUGUAUAGGGGCUGACGCCUGCCCGGUGCUGGAAGGUUAAGGGGAACACUUAGCGCAAGCGAAGGUGUGAACUUAAGCCCCAGUAAACGGCGGCCGUAACUAUAACGGUCCUAAGGUAGCGAAAUUCCUUGUCAGGUAAGUUCUGACCCGCACGAAUGGCGUAAUGACUUGGGCACUGUCUCAACUGCAAAUCCGGCGAAGUUGUAGUGCGAGUGAAGAUGCUCGCUACCCGCGAUUGGACGGAAAGACCCCGUAGAGCUUUACUGUAGCUUAGCAUUGAAUUCCGGUAUUGUCUGUACAGGAUAGGUGGGAGACUGGGAAACUAGGGCGUCAGCCUUGGUGGAGUCGUCCUUGGGAUACCACCCUGACAGUACUGGGGUUCUAACAGGACGCCAUGAAUCUGGUGACUGGACAUUGUUAGGUGGGCAGUUUGACUGGGGCGGUCGCCUCCUAAAAAGUAACGGAGGCGCCCAAAGGUUCCCUCAGAACGGUCGGAAAUCGUUCGUAGAGUGCAAAGGCAGAAGGGAGCCUGACUGCGAGACCUACAAGUCGAGCAGGGACGAAAGUCGGGCUUAGUGAUCCGGUGGUACCACGUGGGAGGGCCAUCGCUCAACGGAUAAAAGCUACCUCGGGGAUAACAGGCUGAUCUCCCCCAAGAGUCCACAUCGACGGGGAGGUUUGGCACCUCGAUGUCGGCUCGUCGCAUCCUGGGGCUGUAGUAGGUCCCAAGGGUUGGGCUGUUCGCCCAUUAAAGCGGCACGCGAGCUGGGUUCAGAACGUCGUGAGACAGUUCGGUCCCUAUCCGUCGCGGGCGUAGGAAAUUUGAGAGGAGCUGUCCUUAGUACGAGAGGACCGGGAUGGACUGACCUCUGGUGCACCAGUUGUUCUGCCAAGAGCAUGGCUGGGUAGCUAAGUCGGGAAGGGAUAAACGCUGAAAGCAUCUAAGCGUGAAGCCUCCCUCAAGAUGAGAUUUCCCAUAGCAUAAGCUAGUAAGACCCCUUGAAGAACACGAGGUUGAUAGGUCAGAGGUGUAAGUGUGGUAACAUAUUUAGCUGACUGAUACUAAUAGGUCGAGGGCUC